AUGUUUGUAGAUGAACAGAUUGAUGAAUUCACGAUGAUGCAGUACUGUAUUGAAUGUUUUCACUUGUAUUGUACUAGGAGUAAGUACGAAGAAGGAAGAAGAAAUCAACAACGGAGGAGAUUUAUCUAUAGUUCUAUACACCGAAUGCUGCCGCCGUCUCCGAUCGACGGAACGGCUUGGAACCUGCUGGCAAUUCACCGCCAAUGGAUGGAUGUGAGCCGGGCCGUCGGCGUCAGAACUCAGAAGAGGUUGAGGACCUCGCGGAUGGCGGCGUUGCAGAGCGGGCAGCGGCCGCGGCCGGCGCGGACCUCGCGGGCGCAGGCGCGGCAGAAGGUGUGGCCGCAGGGGACGAAGGCCGCGCCCUUGCGCCGCGCCAUGCACACGCAGCACCGCCCGCCCACGCCCCUCCCACUCCCCUCCUCCCCCUCCGCCGCCGCGUCCUGGUCCACGCGCGUCCACGCCCCGGCGCGCGCCGCCGCCGUCGUCCACUGCCGCUCCGCCUGCUCCAGCAGCGCCAUCAGCGACACCCGCCUCUCCUCCCCCUGCCCGGGCGACGCCGCCCCCGGCACCGCUCCCGCCACGGCCGCCGUCGGUGCGGGCUCCGCGGCGCGCGUGGAGGAGGGGGGAGCCGGGGGAGCGGCGUCGUCUUCGGGGCCGCGGAUGACGUCGAGGAGCGUGCGGCGCCUGGCGGGCCGGGCGCCGUCGCCCUCGCCCUGA
RNAcentral lists this ribosomal RNA (717 nucleotides) under Triticum aestivum (bread wheat). RNAcentral's name for it is "partial small subunit ribosomal RNA". Lineage: Eukaryota; Viridiplantae; Streptophyta; Magnoliopsida; Poales; Poaceae. The record is from RNAcentral.